GGGGUUGUAGCCUAGUGGUUAGAGCGUCGGACUCACGACCUGAAGGUCGGGGGUUCGAUUCCCGACCCA
Macrostomum lignano is the source of this 69-nucleotide non-coding RNA. NCBI's taxonomy places the organism in Eukaryota, Metazoa, Platyhelminthes, Macrostomidae. The record is from Rfam.